AUACGUAGGGUGCAAGCGUUAAUCGGAAUUACUGGGCGUAAAGCGUGCGCAGGCGGUUUUGUAAGACAGUGGUGAAAUCCCCGGGCUCAACCUGGGAACUGCCAUUGUGACUGCAAGGCUGGAGUGCGGCAGAGGGGGAUGGAAUUUCGCGUGUAGCAGUGAAAUGCGUAGAUAUGCGGAGGAACACCGAUGGCGAAGGCAAUCCCCUGGGCCUGCACUGACGCUCAUGCACGAAAGCGUGGGGAGCAAACAGGAUUAGAUACCCUGGUAGUCCACGCCCUAAACGAUGUCAACUGGUUGUUGGGGAUUUAUUUUCUCAGUAACGAAGCUAACGCGUGAAGUUGACCGCCUGGGGAGUACGGCCGCAAGGUUAAAACUCAAAUGAAUUGACGGGG
This 395-nucleotide ribosomal RNA is filed under the name uncultured bacterium. Its description in RNAcentral is "partial 16S ribosomal RNA". It matches the Rfam family "Bacterial small subunit ribosomal RNA", at positions 523 to 918 of the family's 1533-position model. The record is from RNAcentral.